RNAcentral lists this long non-coding RNA (496 nucleotides) under Olea europaea subsp. europaea. The record is from RNAcentral. Lineage: Eukaryota; Viridiplantae; Streptophyta; Magnoliopsida; Lamiales; Oleaceae.
GUUAAUUAUUUGUAUAAUAAUCAUGUCUUAUACAGGUGGACUAAAAUAACCUUAAAUUACUCAAAAAUUGACAUGAUAGACUUAAAUGAGUAGAGUUCGAAUCAAACUGAAGAACUAAUCCCAUUUGGUCUUUUUGGAGUGCCAUGUGUGCGUAUUGGACAAAGUUUUUAGCCUCGGUUUUUGAAAUUUCAUCAAUUGCACACGCUUCCCUAGUUGCUCUUGGCGCACGCAAGGCCUUCUUCCUAAUUCCUUCGUCCUUACCUUGAAUCAAAUUUACUAAGGUCAGUUUUUUCUUUUUCCACGUCAAUUUUGAAGGUUGGUGUCUUGCUUGUUGCACUUGAACUUUCGACCUAGUAGCUUGGACAAGUCCUUGCAUAGCUUUCUUGAUGUUCUUUUCUCUUGACCGCAUCAUUGAUCCAUCUGAAACGUGUAAAGGAUCCUUGUUAAAUGAUUCUCCAUGAUACUCAUCAAUGCCUAUUCUAACAAGAGAUCUUCA